Peromyscus maniculatus bairdii (prairie deer mouse) is the source of this 533-nucleotide long non-coding RNA. RefSeq lists it as uncharacterized. The record is from RefSeq and is a predicted model, not a curated record. NCBI's taxonomy places the organism in Eukaryota, Metazoa, Chordata, Mammalia, Rodentia, Cricetidae.
GUCAGACAAACCUCUGACUGGCCUCGAGUGUCACACUUGGUUUUCAUGACCUGAGAAGCAGGCAAAGCCAGCUGAGAGCCAUGUCAGGAGGAUCCAGGUGAACAACAAGAUGCCAAUGCUGACUCAAAGGCACAUUUUCCCCCAUAGAAUUGAAAGACAGCUUUUCUGUGCCCAACAGGAGAGCAGCAUUGUAGCUUCAGAACUUAAGAAUCUCUCUCUUUUCCAGAAGGAACAGCAUUUGACUCCAUCGCUGUUGGAACAACCAGCAGACAGGGUCUCUCAAUGAACUUGGAACUUAUCCAUUUAGCAAGAUGAGCUGGCAGAAAAUUCCAGGGAUCCUAUUGUAUCUGCCUCCCAACACCAGGAUGACAGGCAAAUAUCAUCUUACUCAAACUGGAGGUGACAUUAUCGUCUUGUGGCAAAUUAAUUUAUUUCUAGCCCUUUCUUUGUCUGAAACAGCAUGCAUUCUGUGAGCCUAUUAACAUGCCUGCAGGUAUUAUUUCCAUCAUUAUACUUCAUUUCCUGUACUUAUA